RNAcentral lists this long non-coding RNA (12512 nucleotides) under Capsicum annuum. Its description in RNAcentral is "long non-coding RNA (CANN_LNC006754)". Lineage: Eukaryota; Viridiplantae; Streptophyta; Magnoliopsida; Solanales; Solanaceae. The record is from RNAcentral.
AAGAUCCUUCUCCUAUAGCUCUCUUCUAUUUUCUUCUCUUUUUGCUUCUCAUACAACUGAAAAUAAACUCCAGCUUUCCUUGCCUGAAAGCAUUGUACUCCUAUAGGUAGAAUUUGGUGUGAUUUCAUGAAAGCCUCAGUUGCUGACGCUUCUUGAUCGCAAAGGUAGAACUAAAUGCAUUUUUAUGCAUACAAGUCAAUUUAUUUGCUCAAUAAUCAUGAUAUUAUCUAGUCGUGAAUUCAAACUAACCUGCAUGCAAAGAGUAUAUAUCAAAAGAAAAAAAAAGAUUAAGUUUCUAAUAUAACAAAUCAGCUAAUUCUGUUGCCUCGAGGAAUUGAAAUAGACGUGAUCAUUUACCGAAAUUAGGAAGAAUUUUGUGCCUCUUCUGGUUUUCUAAAAGUAAAACCUAAGGAAUGUCCUACUUGACCGAAUAUAGUUGUAAAACAAAUCAAUGGUGAGCUCAAAUGUGCAUAAUAACAAAGUAAACCCUAAAAUUGAUCGUUUCAGAAUGUUUCCGAGGCUGAGUGUUCCUAGAUUUUGGAACACGACAAGUUCGUGUAUGCGCCAAUUGUAAUGCAUUCUAGGUUGACUCUCGCUAGUCUAGUAUCUUCUUUGAGUUUGUUUCAUCUCUUUUUUUUUUUUUUUUUGAGAAAGUAACAUUUCUAUUAUGAACCAACACUUAGGUAGUGCAAAAACCCUUUACAUGCAGUAGGAAGUUAGUAAGAAAACAAAGGCACUCCUAUUCCUAACAUCUCUCUAGAACAUCUAGGAUAUCAUCUGCAGCUAUGUGAGAUUUCUUUGUAUUCCAAAAACACAAAAGCAAAAUACAGUCAUUUUUAAUCCUCUGUACUGUCCUACUUUUAUCUUCAAAGCUUCUGGCAUUCCUUUCCUUCCAAACAGUCCACCAUAUACAUGCUGGAAUGCUCCUCCAGAUGCUCCUGUUUUUGGCUCCAAUCCCUGCUUCCUCCGAACUGUGAAGAGUGUCAACCAUCUUGCUAGGCAUUGUCCAUUGUAUGCUUCUGAGAUUGAUAAAAAUCUUCCAUAGUUGGUCAGUAAUUCUGCAGUGCAAGAACAAAUGUCCAACUGUUUCUGCUGCCUCUCCACAGAGACAACAGUGAGUAACAAGGAUGAUGUUCCUCUUCCUUAAAUUCUCAUGUGUCAGCACAACCUCUUUAGCUAACAACCAUGAGAAGCAUGCCACUUUCAAAAGAAUUGUAGCUUUCCAGAUUUAUUUCCAUGGCUAGAUGUUAUUUUGAGCUCCAACCAAAUUUAGUAGCUUGUAUCCUGAGUUUACCUUGUAGGACCCUUUACUGUGUCCCCUCCACCACAGUCUAUCAAUACCAGCUUUUAGCCCUUGGAAGCAAUCAAGGGUUUUAAGAAGUUCCCCCAUUCUUGGGAUUUCCCAGUCAUUUAAGUUUCUUCUAAAGACUAGGUUCCAACAUUGGACAGACCACAUAUCUUCCAUUGUCUUCUCCUGAUGCUGAGCUAUAUUAAACAAAUCUGGGAACUCUGUUGCUAGACUUCUAUCCCCUAGCCACUUGUCUUUCCAGAAGGAAGUCCUCCUACCAUCAUUGACUGUGAUGGUAGUGUGUUUGAGUAGAAUAUGCCAUCAAUUUCUGAUGGAUCUCCAAGCAGUUACACCAUAUGGAAUGUUAGCUUCUUUUGUAACCUAGCUAUCCAUUUCACCAUACUUUAGCUUGAUCACUUUUUUUUAUAGGGAACUGGUUUCAUGCGCAUAUCUUCAUAACCACUUUAUUUUUAGAGCUUUACUUUGGUUCUUCAAGUUUUUUAUCCCUAGUCCUCCCUGCUUUUGUUGGACAUCAAUAUCUUCCACUUGACUAGGUGAUAGCCCUUCCUAGUCUUGUUUCCUUGCCAGAAAUUUUCUGAUCUUGUCGAGCCUCUGGACAACACUAGCUGGAACUAGAAAGAGGGUGAGCAUAUAAGUUAGGAGGGCAUCUAGUAUUGCAUUUAUCAGGGUGAGUCUGUCCUCCAAAGACAGAUAUUGAGCUUUCCACCUUGACAGCUUCUUUUCACAUUUUUCUAUAACCGUAUCUCAUAUCUCUUUAGAUUUUGACUUAGCCCCCAAAGGCAUUCCUAAGUAGAUAGAAGGAAGAUUUCCCACUUCUCCUCCCAGAAUUGAGGUUGAGGCUAAGAGAUCAAUGUUCGGGAUUGGGUUAAUGGGAUAUACGUGGCUUUUUCCCCAGUUGAUAUGCAAGCCUGAAAUUCCUUCAAAGAGUACAAGGAUCACUCUUAUGUAUCUUAUCUGUUCUUCCUCGGCCUCGCAAAAAAUCAAGGUAUCAUCAGCAUAUUGGAGGUGUGUCACCUCUAGACUACCUCCAUUAUUUUUAGCCAUCUCAAAUCUUGAGAUCCAACCAUUAUAUUUUGCAGUGCUGAUCAUGUUGUUCAGCCCCUCCAUGGCUAGGAUGAAUAAGAAGGGAGGCAGGGGAUCCCCUUGUCUUAUUCCCCUUUGGGAUGCAAAGAAGCCUUUAGGAGUACCAUUAAUCAAUACAGAAAAUUUUACAAUAGAGAUGCAGAAACUGAUCCAUCUAAUCCAUGUGUUCUGAGAGUGUUGAGCAAGAAGUCCCAAUUCACAUGGUCAAAAGCCUUCUCAAUGUCCAGUUUACAUAAGAUUCCAGGUUUCUUUUGGGACAGCCUUGAAUCUACUGCUUCAUUUGCAAUUAAGACCGCAUCCAUGAUUUGUCUUCCAUGAAUGAAGGCCAAUUUUUGUGACCCUACCAAUUUUUCCAUUACCCCUUUUAACCUUUCAGUAAGAACUUUAGACAGUAGCUUAUAGAAACUACCUAUCAGGCUAAUUGGUUUGAAGUCUUAAAGUUCCUUAGCCCCUUUCUUCUUUGGGAUUAAAGCAAUGUAUGUGGCAUUGAAGCUCUUUUCAAACAUUUCAUUUUCAUAGAAAUUGUGGAAGGCUUCCAUAAUAUCAUGCUUUAAGAAAUCUUAACAUUUUAUGAAGAAUCCCAUAGUGUAUCCAUCAGGACUAGGAGCCUUGUCCACAACACACUUCUUCAAACAACUACAACUUCCUGUUCCUGAAAAUUUGCUUGUAACUGGUCUUUCUCUGUUUCCGAAAUUGUGGGCAGCCUAUCAUAUUCCCUGUAGGUCUCUAUUUGUUUGUUUCUAUGUACAUUUUUUUGUAGAACUGUAUAAUUUCCUCCUUAGCACUUUCCGGGUCCUUUACUAGCUCUCCCUGUACUUCUAAAUGGUCGAUGUAGUUACUUCUUUUGUGGGCAUUAGCUGUGAUAUGGAAGAAUUUGGUGUUGUUGUCACCUUCCUUCAACCACAAUAUUCUUGAUCUCUGUCUCCAAGCUAAUUCUUCAUUCUUAAGCAAGGUUUCAAAUUCCAUAAUCGUUUUUGCCUUCUCAGCAGCCUCUUCCUCAGUCAAAGCUUUACUAUCUAUUAUGGAGUCCAUGGUUGCCAUUCUGCUUACCAGAGUGGAUUUCUGCAAAGACAAAUCGCCGUUCUCUUCCCUGCUCUACUCUUUUAGCUUGCAUUUGAGAGCUUUCAGUUUGCAAGCUAAAAUGUAGUCUGGUUUUCCCCAGAAAGUAAAGGAGCUCCACCAUGCUUUGACUCUAUCCGUGAAACCUUCAGUGUUAAGCCACCAAUUUUCGAAUUUGAAAUAUGAUUUGUUAUGCUCCCAAGGGCCAUAUUGUAAAGCUAUAGGCACAUGGUCCGAAGUUAGCCUUUGGAGGGUAGUUUGCUUUACUUUGCUGAACUGUUCACUCCACUCUGCGGAGAAGAAAAUUUUGUCUAUCCUUGAGGCUGUGUUGUUGGUGUCUCCUUUGAACCAUGUAUAACUCCCUUCUUCUAAAGGAAGAUCAAUAAGCUCCAGAUCAUCUAUUGCAUCAAAAAAUUCAGCCACGGUAGAGGUCCUCCUUUGAUAGUUCCUCUUCUCGGUCAAGAACCUAUGCACAUUGAAAUCCCCACAUACAGCCCAAGGACCCUUCAUUAAACCUCUCACAGCUCCUAACUCAUCCCACACUUCCCUUCUUUCCACCUUACAAUUAGGCGCAUAAACACCUGAAAUGUGGCAGUUGAAGUCUUGGAGCAGAGCUUCGAAGCUGCAAGUUAGAGUAUGAACCCUUGAUUGGAGUAUCUCCCCCUUCCAGACUCUACUAUCCCAAAGCUUAAUGAUUCCUCCCCUUGUGCCACUAGCUUCUAAACAAGCAUGUUUAGCCCAUCUCCCACCCCAAAGUUGUUUCACUAUCCCUUGCAUGUCCCUCUGUAACUUUGUUUUCUGAAGACAGAUUAUGUCUGCCUUCCAUUGAUCAAUACAAUUCUUCACUAUUCUUCUCUUAUCAUUCAAUCCCUUUACAUUCCAAGAUAUUAGUUUGAACUUUAUGAUAUUGAUUGUGAAUGCUCUUUCUCCUUAUUCCCACCCUCAUUGUUUUUGAACUUCACAUCAAAAGAGAUCAAGUUUUUCAAUUCGUUGGCACCUUUGAAUCUAUUUUUCUGAUUUCUGAAGGUAGUCCCAUCUUUCUAAUCUAUCUGCAAUCUAUCUGCAGGCAUCUAUUUGCAUAAGAAGCUCCCGAUCUUCCUCCUCGUGGCCCUUGAAAUCAACCCCAAAGAUUUUUCCAAGUUUAAUUAUGUUCUGCCGCACCUAUAUUGAUGUGGUCUUUUCCUUUUCAAAGAUAUAUGGGUGUUUCUGUGGCUAUUGGUGUUGCCUCCUCCACGUUCCACAACUCUCCUCCCAUACUGAAAUUGGCAUUCAUAAUUUGUUGAUCCAUGCAGCUCUCGAGCCCAACGUUUUGUCUGAUAGUUAUUUCCCCCUCUAACUUUUUGGUAAUUUUUGCAAACUCCAACUUAUUAUCUUCGCUGGUACCGGCUUCUCCAUCUUCAGCAGAAUUUUGAAUCCUCCCUUCGUCUUCUUUACUGAUGUUUUCUGGUAAAUUUCUAAGCAUCACAGUCUCCUCCCAUAGAGCAUCUGUGAAGAUUAAGUUGGGUUGGGCUUCUGAGGGCAUCUUUUGUUGAAACUUUUUUUAGACUGGGCCGGCCCAAAAUUAGAGGUACCCAUGUUGUUAUCUGCAUGUAAUAAGCUUUUCACAUGCUCCACAUGUGGGUUAGAUUUUAAAAAAUCGCACCCCACGUAUGUAAUCCAGUUGACAACUGUCAACGCAGCUAUUUCCUUGAUAACAUCAAAAGGCGCUUUAGUCCGCCGGACAAUACCCAUCUUUUUGUCAAAGAGCGAUUGUUGUGUAAAGCCUUUUGCUAGGGUUCCAUUCUUUUCCACUUUUUCCGGCGUAGCUUUCGCCGGAAUUUCGAUGCAGGGGUAAGCCCAUAGCCUUGAUCCAGGUUGAUUCUCUUUGGCAUUGGGCAGGUAUACAACCAGUGAGAGGGGUCCACUAUUGUAGUUGAACCAUCGAUUUUCUCCAGUCUCCUUGGACUAUUUGCUCAACCAUGUGCUUGUUUAGAAAUGUGAAGAGGAAGGUAUAGCCUUCCAUCUCAUAUAUGUGGACACCAAAAGCUUUCUUCCAUGUAAAGGAGGCCCACCUUAGUAUGGGUGACUCAUCUCCUCUAAAAAUUUUCGUCUAAUGCUUCUCCCCAGAGGCCCCUUAGGGUUGUCAGACCUUUCAAUUUGAUCUUAGUGUUGCCAUUUACUGCCCUCAACCGCGCUGACAUAUGAGAUGGUGUGUUCUGGUAGUUGGUUGACCAUACAUUGAUGGUUAGCAUUUAUGAAGUUUUCAAUCUUGAGAGCUAUGUCCCUCCAUCCUGCAUUUAUUGCCAACUCUGGGACAAUAAUAACUUCUCUAACCCCAUCUUUAAGGGACAAAAAGCUCAUGUACUUUUCGUGUUCGUUGUACUUUCUGUGUUCGUUGUACUUUCUGGUGCCAUAAAACUCAACUGCUUGGUCCUUAGUCCUCCAUCUUCUUACCAGAUUCCUACCAGAUUCCUGUUGUCGUUUGAUGCUUCUUUGAGGAUAUGGCAAAUCCACUCCAUUGUCUUCCUACUCAGUGUUAUUCUACGCAUUAUGUUUUUGCUUCUCUCAACCCAGUCCAACCAAAUUGUAUUGCCGGAGUUCCAUCUUGUAAUGUCGAAAGACUUAAAACCCACAUUGAAAUAAAUUCGAUUUUCUGCCAUUGAUUUGAAACAAUAAUAAGAGGGAUUGAAGCAAUAAUCACAGUGGGUGAAUAUUGAUUGGUUAAAAAAAAGAAAGGUUAGAUUGUUGGAGAUCGGUGCCGGAGUGAGACUUCUACAGUCCUAGAAAGUAGGAGAGAGAAGAUCCUUGGUAUCCGUGCCUGGGAGCAUUUUUUCUUAGUGUUCAACUCUCUUUCCUAAUAGAAUGAAUUUGUUUCAUCUUUUCACAUAUCACAUUCUCUUGAAGUACAUGCAACUCUGUCUUAAUCAUCAAGAGCACAAUAUUUGUUGACUGAUGGAGGAUUUCAAGGAAGAUACUAAUCAUAUCAAGAUUUGAUCCUCUAAGAUCUUAGGAUACCUUAGGAUAAUUUUUGUGAUCUAGAAUAUCGUAUCUGUGAUUUUUUUUCUUUCUAUGAUUCUGUACAAUCCCAGAUUUCAUGGGAUUUAGAUGAUUCUACUCAACAAUCUCCUAUGUAUAUAAAACCCAUGUAUAUGACAUAGAAAAGAUUGAAUGAAAUUAUUCAAUCAUCUUAUUUCACAUGGUAUCAGAGCUUUAGGCUUAUUCCUGACCAUUUUUAUUUUAUUCAUUCAGUCUUGAAGUCUUUUUUUCCCGCUUUAUCUGCCCAAAUGUUGAAACCAUUCAAAACCAUGUCUGAAAAGGCAACUGAUGCAAAUAUUCUAGUCCCUGGAAGUGUUUCUGCAGCCGUAGAGAAUAACUCUACAGUUUCAACUGGAGAUUUGCAAAACAUGCAAGCCUCUUAUCGGUUGAAUGGAAGAAAUUACCUAAAAUGGGCUCAACUAGUUCGUACCGUUUUAAAGGGUAAAGGGAAAUUGCGACAUCUUCUUAGUUUAGGACCAUCUAAAGAAGACCGCACGUUUGAUGCAUGGGAUGAACAAGAUGCAAUGGUGAUGUCUUGGUUAUGGAACUCCAUGCUUCUGGAAAUCAGCGAUAACGUUGAGCACUUACGGAAAUUUGGGCAGUGAAGGAGACGUACUCUAAAGUACAUAAUGCUGCCAGGAUCUAUGAAAUAAAAAUAAAACUUUCUGCAACAAAACAGGGAGCUCGACCUGUCACUGAAUAUUCUAACUUUAUACAGGGGUUCUGGCAAGAAAUGGAUCAUUAUCAAUGCAUUCAAAUGUGUUGUAAAGAUGAUACUGUGAUUCUGAAAAGAUUUAUUGAAAAAGAAAGGAUUUAUGAUUUUAUUGCAGGACAGAAUUUGAUGUCGUGUGAGUGCAGAUCUUAGGAAAAGAAGGCUUGCCAUCACUAAAUGAAACACUGGCCAUUAUACGGACAAAAGGCCGGAGGAGUGUUAUACUUGAAACUCAAAUUAAUGAAGGAUCAACUAUUAUAGCAAAAGGACAAAUUCAAGAGAAUUGGAGUUUCACAAUGGGAAAACACUGUCAAGCCUGCCGGUUCAUUCAAACCGCCAAUUAAUAGGGAUAAUCUUUACUGCACCUACUGUAAAAAAUAUCGACACACCCGAGAUAGGUGUUGGAAACUCAAUGGUAGACCUCUAAACAGAAACAUUAGUGAUGGAAAGCAGGCACAAAUAGCUCGCAACCCUGACACUGAUGAAAAUCGACACUCUGCUUUAGAAGGUAGUUCUUCACUGGCCUUCACAGGUAUUUCUUUCUCCUUUGUUACUAAUGUCUCAGACAAACUUUCUCCAAAGUGAGUGGUUGAUUUCGGGGCAAUUGAUCAUAUGACCUGUUUAUCUCAUCUCUUUAUAUCAUAUUCCCCUUGUCCUAACUAUGAAAAAAUAACUAUUGCUGAUGGUUUAGUUCUUACCGUAGCUGGAAAAGGAGACAUACCAUUGGGAAAGUCCUUGAUACUUAAAAAUGUCCUUCAUGUCCCAAAGCUAGAUGUAAAUCUCAUUUCUGUCCAAAAAGUCACCAAAGAUUCCAAAUGCCCAGUACCUUCAUAUUGUUUAUUUCAGGAACGGGACACGAAGGGGAUGAUUAGGCGUGCUAGUGAGAAAGGUGUUCUUUAUUGUUUGGAUUUCCACAAUGGUGAAGAUAAAACUAAGAAUUCCUUAUCUAGUUCAUUCUUGUCUGAAUCAAUUAUGUCCAAUAAAGAGAAAGUAUGGCUUUAUCAUCUUCGCUUAGGCCAUCUGUUCUUCUAUGUAAUCAAAAAGAUGUUUCCAUCUCUGUUUAAAGAUUGAGUGUUGAGUCUUUUCAUUGUGAUGAUUGUGAAAUUGCAAAACACAAAUGUGUUUCCUUUUCAAUUAGUAAUAAAAGAUGUAAGACUCCUUUUUCUCUUAUUCAUAGUGAUAUUUGAGGACCUUCUCCUGAUCCUAAUAUUUCUGGUGCUAGAUGGUUUGUGUUAUUCAUUGAUGAUUGUACAAGAGUAACAUGGAUCUAUUUGUUAAAGCAAAAAUCAGAUGUUAGCCAAAUUCUUCCUACCUUUUUUAAUCUGAUCAAAACCCAAUUUGAUUUGCCAAUUAAAAGAUUCUGAUCUAAUAAUGGCAAGGACUACUUCAACCAAAACCUCUCUGUUUUCUUCCAAAAAGAGGGAAUUAUUCAUGAAUCUUCAUGUGUCAAUACUCCUUAACAAAAUGGAGUAGCAGAGAGAAGAAAUGGUUUGUUACUAGACAUUACUAAAUCACUAUUGUUUCACAAAAGGGUUCCAAAACAGUAUUGGGGGGAAGUUGUCCUAACUGCUGCACUCCUUAGUAGUAGAAUAUCAUCAAGAAUUCUGAAUUUUAAAAGCCCCCUGGAUACUCUUAGGAAUUUCUUCCCGAAUUUUGAAAUUUUCAAUAAAUUGGUUCCUAAUCUUUGGCAGUGUUGCCUAUGUUCAUAUUCAUUCUCAUAAUAGAGGCAAAUUAGAUCCACGUGAUCUUAAGUGUGUUUCCUUAGGAUAUUCUCCUACUAAAAAAGGUUAUAAGUGUUAUCAACCAUCAUCAAAAAAAUUCUUUGUUUCAGCUGAUAUCACAUUUGAUGAGAGUGAAUCAUUUUUAGCCAUUCUUACAAUCAUAGAGACUCACUGAAGAGAGGGGGACCUCUAGACAUUACUAUUUGAUUUGUCUAUUUCUAGUCGUGCCAAAUUCUUGUCCGAGUCACCAUUUCUUCGGUUACCCAAGUCUCUAAUCCAAAUGAACCCACCAAGUCUCCUAAUCUGGAUAUGGAUAAUGGAAUUCUAGAAAAUACUCUACCAUUACAGGUUUAUUCCAGAAGAAAGAGGCUAAUAGAUCAAACUACUCAAAGGCAAUCAUCUACUCGGGUUAUUGCUCCUACUGCCCAUCCUGAACCCGUUGAACCAUCAAAAAUACCAAACCAAACUGAUCAUGAAGAAGAGUCUAACCAAGCUAAUGUCCUUGACCUUCCCAUUGCACUCAAAAAAGGAACCAGAACCUGCAUACAACACCCUUUAAGCCUUUAUGUGACAUAUCAAAACCUAUCCCCAAGUCGUAAAGCUUUUCUCUGGAACAUCCACACAAUUCCUAUCCCUUGUCUGAAGCUUUAGGGAACAAAAAGUGGGAGAAAGCUAUAAAGGUAGAAAUGGAAGCGUUUGAAAAAAACAGAACUUGGGAAAUUGUAGAAUUACCAAAAAGGAAAAAGUCGGUGCGGUGUAGAUGGGUUUUUGCUAUGAAAUAUAAGUCAAAUGGGUCCACAGAAAGAUUUAAAGAACGAUUAGUAGCAAAGAGUUAUACACAGACCUAUAAAGUUGAUUAUUUGGAGACUUUUGCUCUAGUGGAAAAAAUGAAUACAGUAAGAAUCUUAUUAUCAUUGGCUGCGAUUUUUAAUUGGAACCUACCACAAUUUGAUGUGAAAAAUGCAUUACUACAUCGAGAUUUAGAUGAGGAGAUCUAUAUAGAGGUGCCUCUUGGUUUUGCAAACAAGAAAGGAAUGGUGUGUAGACCGAAGAAGGCAUUUUAUGGAUUAAAGCAAUCACCUCGUGCAUGGUUUGGAAGAUUUACAAAGGUCAUGAUCAAGCUAGGGUACCGACAAAGUCAAGGAGACCACACCUUGCUCAUAAGACACUCAGAAACAGGAAAGGUAACAACAUUAUUAGUUUAUGUAGAUGACAUCAUAGUAAUAGGUGCUGAUUCAGAAGAGGUACAAAAUCUAAGGAAGUGUUUUGUCAGGAAUUUGACAUCAAAGAGCUUGAGAAAUUAAAGUAUUUUCUGGGAAUCGAAGUGGCACACUCAAAAUAGGGAAUCUUUAUUUCCCUNNNNNNNNNNNNNNNNNNNNNNNNNNNNNNNNNNNNNNNNNNNNNNNNNNNNNNNNNNNNNNNNNNNNNNNNNNNNNNNNNNNNNNNNNNNNNNNNNUUUGUAUCAAAGGCUUGUAGUGAAAUUGAUCUACUUGUCCCAUACAAGGUCGGACAUUGCCUUUGCUGUGAGUGUUGUAAGCCAAUUUAUGCAUGAUCCUAGAGAAACACAUCUUCAAGUUGUCAACAAGAUUCUACAAUAUCUUAAAGGGAACUCGAGUAAAAGGAAUACUAUUCAAAUGAGGAGGAGACAUAGUUUUAGAGGCUUAUAUUGAUGUAGACUAUGCUGGUUCAUUACUGGAUCGAAGGUCAUUUUCUGGAUAUUGCACUUUCUCAGGAGGAAAUCUGGUGACUUGGAGGAGUAAAAAACAAAAUGUAGUAGCCAGAUCAAGUGCAAAAUCUGAAUUUAGAUCUAUGGCUAUGGGAGUUUGUGAACUGUUAUGAUUAAAGAUAAUCCUUGAUGAUUUGAAGAUAGGCUGGGAAGGACCAAUGAGACUAUAUUGUGACAAUAAAUCAGCAAUAAAUAUAGCUCAUAAUCCUGUACCACAUGAUCGCACUAAGCACAUUGAGGUGGAUAGACAUUUCAUUAAGGAGAAAUUAGAUAGUGGACUCAUUUGUACGCCAUUUGUAUCUACAAAAGAUCAGGUAGCCGAUGUUUUGACAAUAGGAUUGCCAAACAAUAUGUUUCAAGAUCUAAUAAGCAACCUAGGAAUGGAAAAUAUCCAUUCACCUGCUUGAGGGGGAGUGUUGACUGCUAGAGGAUUUCAAGGAAGAUGCUCGUCAUAUCAAGAUUUGAUCCUCUAAGAUCUUAGGAUAUCAUAAGAUAUCUUAGGAUAAUUGUUGUAAUCUAGAAUAUCCUAUCUAUGAUUCUCUCUUUAUGUAGAAUAUCUGAUUCUGCACAAUUCCAGAUUUCAUGGGAUUUAGAUGAUUCUACUCGACAAUCUCCUAUGUAUAUAAAAGCCAUGUAUAUGACAUAGAAAAGUGUGAAUGAAAUUAUUCAAUCAUCUUAUUCCACAAUAUCAAAAUUUCUUUUUAUUUUUCCCUUUUUAUAAUUGUCUUUUUUUUUUUUGUUUUCCUGGAACUGCUAAACAGUUGGAUUGAUUUCAAGCAUCAAAUGGGAUCAAUGCUGGCCGAAAGUGAUAGGAAGGGCAUAAUGGUACCUAGAGUUAAGAAGUCCACCAGAAAAGGGUCUAUCUAUUCGAAUCCUCUGCCUGAAUGCAGGUGCCUUUGGGAGUCAGAAAGAGCUACCAACCGUAGUAAUUCAUACCUCAUGGUAGAUCAUUGAGAUUGGUCCAAGUUCUAAGUUCCUUUGAUUUGAGCAGUCUAAGUUGAUCAGUUAAGUUGGGAUCCUUUUGCAAGCACCAGUUACUCUUCUGUUUUGCUUGUUACCUCUGGAACAGUAACAAAGUAUCCAAUUGCUACCAUGCUAUUUCCAAGGAUAAUCAGUAUGCUUCCAGCUUUAUCAUUUUGGGGUCUGUCGCUUUAUGUGCAUGUGGGGAGUGUUAGAAUAGAUCCAAAGCUCCAAGUCCAACUUUGAUUACAGGAAUCGAAGAUUGCUAAAGCAUCUCAGUCAAGAUCAUAAGAAUUCGCUUUCCAGUUUUGCCUUGUCUGGCGAGGCAGGACAAUUGAUCUAUCUGGAGUUGAUAUCAGCUCCUCAGAUCCUAAAGCUCUCAGUUAUGAUCUCUCAUAGUCUAGAUUUUUUAUUCUCUCUCUUCUUCUUAGGAUUUGUUACUGCGUUCACAUUGCUUUUGGAAACUUGUGCUCCUUUAGUCAACUAGUUGUAAUGCUACAAAUUUUUUAAUGAUUAAAUUUCAAGAUCUAUCGUGCCAAGUGUUUCUACCUUAGCAAGUGUCUUGAGGAUUUUUGCAGCUUUAUAUAGUAUUGGAUUGAGAUGAGCUCAAAUAGAUCGACAUGGACGGCAAAUAAUUGUACAUUAAUUCCAAAGUUCAAAUGAUCAGCCAUUUUGCGAGUUUUCACCGUGCCUUGAGCCGUCGCACAUGGUUUUCACUUUUCCGGAAAACUGAUAAGAAAUGAAAUAACCUGACCAGGAACCCAUACGCUUAAAAAAAUUUAUAAUGAAUGUAACUGCAGGUACUUAUGGUUUCCACAUAUGUAAAAACUAAUUUAAAGAUAUUUGAGUUUUACGUCCUACUUACUCUGCAUUGAUGACUUACAAUCAACUACUCCCUCCAUUCAUGUGAUAUCCUUUUGUUUUUAG